ACUCCUACGGGAGGCAGCAGUGGGGAAUAUUGCACAAUGGGCGAAAGCCUGAUGCAGCGACGCCGCGUGAGGGAUGACGGCCUUCGGGUUGUAAACCUCUUUCAGCACGGAAGAAGCGAAAGUGACGGUACGUGCAGAAGAAGCGCCGGCUAACUACGUGCCAGCAGCCGCGGUAAUACGUAGGGCGCAAGCGUUGUCCGGAAUUUAUUGGGCGUAAAGAGCUCGUAGGCGGUUUGUCGCGUCUGCUGUGAAAGCCCGGGGCUUAACCCCGGGUGUGCAGUGGGUACGGGCAGACUUGAGUGCAGUAGGGGAGACUGGAAUUCCUGGUGUAGCGGUGAAAUGCGCAGAUAUCAGGAGGAACACCGAUGGCGAAGGCAGGUCUCUGGGCUGUUACUGACGCUGAGGAGCGAAAGCAUGGGGAGCGAACAGGAUUAGAUACCCUGGUAGGAUAGCG
RNAcentral lists this ribosomal RNA (454 nucleotides) under uncultured bacterium. Its description in RNAcentral is "bacterial SSU rRNA". It matches the Rfam family "Bacterial small subunit ribosomal RNA", at positions 335 to 801 of the family's 1533-position model. The record is from RNAcentral.